GCCCAAGUGGCGGAAUUGGUAGACGCGCUAGUUUCAGGGACUAGUAUUCGUAAGGAUGUGCAGGUUCGAGUCCUGUUCCGGGCA
RNAcentral lists this transfer RNA (84 nucleotides) under Dysgonamonadaceae bacterium. RNAcentral's name for it is "tRNA-Leu". It matches the Rfam family "tRNA". Rfam says of the family: Transfer RNA (tRNA) molecules are approximately 80 nucleotides in length. Their secondary structure includes four short double-helical elements and three loops (D, anti-codon, and T loops). Lineage: Bacteria; Pseudomonadati; Bacteroidota; Bacteroidia; Bacteroidales; Dysgonomonadaceae. The record is from RNAcentral.